CCUACGGGAGGCAGCAGUGAGGGAUAUUGCGCAAUGGGCGAAAGCCUGACGCAGCGACGCCGCGUGGGCGAGGAAGGCCUUCGGGUUGUAAAGCCCUUUUGGCAGGGAAGAGCAAGGACUGUACCUGCAGAACAAGUCACGGCUAACUACGUGCCAGCAGCCGCGGUAAAACGUAGGUGGCGAGCGUUAUCCGGAAUCACUGGGCGUAAAGGGCGUCUAGGCGGUCGGGUAAGUCGGUGGUGAAAUCUUUCCGCUAAACGGGAAAAUUGCCUCCGAGACUGCUCAUCUUGAGUACGGGAGAGGGUGAUGGAAUUCCUGGUGUAGCGGUAAAAUGCGUAGAUAUCAGGAAGAACACCGGUGGCGAAGGCGGCCACCUGGCCCGUAACUGA
RNAcentral lists this ribosomal RNA (389 nucleotides) under uncultured bacterium. Its description in RNAcentral is "partial 16S ribosomal RNA". It matches the Rfam family "Bacterial small subunit ribosomal RNA", at positions 338 to 743 of the family's 1533-position model. The record is from RNAcentral.